This 739-nucleotide long non-coding RNA is filed under the name Malus domestica (apple). Its description in RNAcentral is "long non-coding RNA (MDOM_LNC013388)". The record is from RNAcentral. Lineage: Eukaryota; Viridiplantae; Streptophyta; Magnoliopsida; Rosales; Rosaceae.
CACUAUGCUUCAAGAACAAGGGUGGAUGGUCCUAAACUAGGAUAGGUAAGGAUAAUGUGGUUUAACAAAGAAUGUAGGCUAUCAAGGCUCAAUGGGGUUAACUUAAACAUAUAACGAUAUGGGAUAUAUGGCAGUUUGGCUUUGGUGGUGGUAACUACACAACGUCAUCUUGAAUAUGUGUUAUGCAAAUCAAUAGCAUGCUUUGAAUGAAAUAGGCAUGAGUUCUAGCAUUUGGAACUAAAUGAUGAAACGCCUUCUAAGUAAUAACCAAGCAAAGAAUAAUGAGAUCAUGCAACGACUUUAGAAAACAAUAAUGCACAGAUUUUAACUCUCCAAAUAAACAUUUAGGCUCAAGUCUCACAAGGUUGUAGCGUUAGUUUGAGUUCUUUCCUUCAAGCAUGUUACAAAAAAAACUAAUUUUUUUUUCUUUUAUGAUUACAUGUGAUUUCAUAAGUUAUAACCACAAUCACGCAUAAAUAAAGAGUAAAUCAAACUUUCAUCCAUGUUUAUAACUCUCUUUAAAAGUCAUGCAAUUACAAACUGAAUCCUCAUCAUUGUGUUGGAAGGUACCCUAAGACACAAAUAAGCACACAAAAACAACUCUUUUUGGGAUUUUCAAAAGCAAUUUUUCAAAUUUUUAUGAAUUUUCGGAUUUUUAUGUCAAAACACACUGAAAUACUCCAAAACAGCUUAAAAAAAAAUACUUAAAACAGUAAGGAACAACACUAGAAGUAAUGGG